RNAcentral lists this ribosomal RNA (429 nucleotides) under uncultured bacterium. RNAcentral's name for it is "bacterial SSU rRNA". It matches the Rfam family "Bacterial small subunit ribosomal RNA", at positions 355 to 776 of the family's 1533-position model. The record is from RNAcentral.
UGGGGAAUAUUGGACAAUGGGCGAAAGCCUGAUCCAGCAAUACCGCGUGUGUGACGAAGGCCUUCGGGUCGUAAAGCACUUUCAGCAAGGAAGAUGGCUGAUGUGUUAAUAGCACAAUCAGUUGACGUUACUUGCAAAGGAAGCACCGGCUAACUCUGUGCCAGCAGCCGCGGUAAUACAGAGGGUGCAAGCGUUAAUCGGAAUUACUGGGCGUAAAGCGCAUGUAGGCGGAUGCUUAAGUCAGAUGUGAAAUCCCGGAGCUCAACUCCGGAACUGCAUUUGAUACUGGGCAUCUAGAGUAUGGUAGAGGAAAGUGGAAUUUCUGGUGUAGCGGUGAAAUGCAUAGAUAUCAGAAGGAACAUCAGUGGCGAAGGCGGCUUUCUGGACCAAUACUGACGCUGAGAUGCGAAAGCGUGGGGAGCAAACAGG